Molecule: ribosomal RNA, 253 nt
Filed under: uncultured bacterium
Lineage: Bacteria
Description: partial 16S ribosomal RNA
Rfam family: Bacterial small subunit ribosomal RNA
Source: RNAcentral
UACGAAGGGGGCUAGCGUUGCUCGGAAUUAUUGGGCGUAAAGCGCACGUAGGCGGUUCGUUAAGUCGGAUGUGAAAGCCCUCGGCUCAACUGAGGAAGUGCACCCGAAACUGGCGAGCUUAAGUACGAAAGAGGAUCGCGGAAUUCCCGGUGUAGAGGUGAAAUUCGUAGAUAUCGGGAGGAACACCGGUGGCGAAGGCGGCGAUCUGGGUCGAUACUGACGCUGAGGUGCGAAAGCGUGGGGAGCAAACAGG